CACCGCGGUUAUACGAGAGACCCUAGUUGAUAUACACGGCGUAAAGAGUGGUUUGGGACAAACCAAAUAAUAGAGCCAAAGACCUCCCAAGCCGUCGCACGCACCCCGGAGGCACGAAGCCCAAGCACGAAAGUAGCUUUAUUAAUACCCCGACGCCACGAAAGCUAAGAAA
This 172-nucleotide ribosomal RNA is filed under the name Semaprochilodus sp. CBM:ZF:12566. RNAcentral's name for it is "partial 12S rRNA". Lineage: Eukaryota; Metazoa; Chordata; Actinopteri; Characiformes; Prochilodontidae. The record is from RNAcentral.